RNAcentral lists this ribosomal RNA (433 nucleotides) under uncultured bacterium. RNAcentral's name for it is "partial 16S ribosomal RNA". It matches the Rfam family "Bacterial small subunit ribosomal RNA", at positions 29 to 507 of the family's 1533-position model. The record is from RNAcentral.
AACGAACGCUGGCGGCAUGCCUAACACAUGCAAGUCGAACGAGACCUUCGGGUCUAGUGGCGCACGGGUGCGUAACGCGUGGGAACCUGCCCUUAGGUUCGGAAUAACUCCCCGAAAGGUGUGCUAAUACCGGAUAAUGUCAUCGGACCAAAGAUUUCUCGCCUUUGGAUGGGCCCGCGUUGGAUUAGCUAGUUGGUAGGGUAAAAGCCUACCAAGGCGACGAUCCAUAGCUGGUCUGAGAGGAUGAUCAGCCACACUGGGACUGAGACACGGCCCAGACUCCUACGGGAGGCAGCAGUGGGGAAUAUUGGACAAUGGGCGAAAGCCUGAUCCAGCAAUGCCGCGUGAGUGAUGAAGGCCUUAGGGUUGUAAAGCUCUUUUACCCGGGAUGAUAAUGACAGUACCGGGAGAAUAAGCUCCGGCUAACUCCGUG